Molecule: microRNA precursor, 105 nt
Filed under: Marmota monax (woodchuck)
Lineage: Eukaryota; Metazoa; Chordata; Mammalia; Rodentia; Sciuridae
Source: RNAcentral
AGAGGAAUAGCUGGGUCAAAUGGUGUUUCCCCAUUUCCAGUUUUCCAAGCAUUCUCCAUACUGCUUUCCAAAUUGGCUGCACCAAUUUGCAGUCCCACCAGCAAU